This 205-nucleotide ribosomal RNA is filed under the name Clostridioides difficile. Its description in RNAcentral is "partial 23S ribosomal RNA". It matches the Rfam family "Bacterial large subunit ribosomal RNA", at positions 2572 to 2776 of the family's 2925-position model. Lineage: Bacteria; Bacillati; Bacillota; Clostridia; Peptostreptococcales; Peptostreptococcaceae. The record is from RNAcentral.
UUGGGCUGUUCGCCCAUUAAAGUGGUACGCGAGCUGGGUUCAGAACGUCGUGAGACAGUUCGGUCCCUAUCCGUCGCAGGCGUAGGAAAUUUGAGAAGACCUAUCCUUAGUACGAGAGGACCGGGAUGGACGUACCUCUGGUGUACCAGUUGUCCUGCCAAGGGCAUGGCUGGGUAGCUAUGUACGGAAUGGAUAAGCGCUGAAA